This 593-nucleotide long non-coding RNA is filed under the name Macaca nemestrina (pig-tailed macaque). Its description in RNAcentral is "lncRNA (ENSMNEG00000045891.1)". Lineage: Eukaryota; Metazoa; Chordata; Mammalia; Primates; Cercopithecidae. The record is from RNAcentral.
CACAACAUAUGGGACAAUAUAAUAGAAAUCCUGGUUAUAUUCUUUCCUUUUGUGUAAUUCAUUGCACCAAUCGUGUUUGAUCAAAGUUAUGAAACUCAUAAUAUUGCUAUCUAUUUUUAAAGCAUGCAUGUUUUUCUUCUUUUUAAUCUUUGCUUUAGGGAACAGCCUUUAAGAGCUGGAAGAUGAAAGCUCCGAUUCCACACUUGAUUCUCUUAUACGCUACUUUUACUCAGAGUUUGAAGGUUGUGACCAAAAGAGGCUCCGGGACACAAAAUGGACUAAGAUGGAACGUGGGCCGUGUUGCAUGCUAUCCCAGACUCAGGCCUGAGGAAGACUCUACCAAGUGGAAUGCUCCUGGUCACUGUGGCAGGAGGAAGGGGAGUGCUAGAAAAUCUUGCAAUUUAAUUAAAUGCUAUCGUCCAGAAGUGAUGUACAACAUUUCUGUCCACAACUCUUUGGCCAGAAUUAUUCUCAUGAUCCUGCCAAGGGCAAGGUGGCAAAGAAUUACCAUUCUUUCAUGUGGCUGGGAGGGAAAAAAGAACCAGAUUGAGAAGAGCAUUAGAUAUCUCUGUCACAUCAGAGGAACAAAUUAG